Molecule: ribosomal RNA, 253 nt
Filed under: uncultured prokaryote
Description: partial 16S ribosomal RNA
Rfam family: Bacterial small subunit ribosomal RNA
Source: RNAcentral
AUACGUAGGGGCCAAGCGUUGUCCGGAUUUAUUGGGCGUAAAGAGCUCGUAGGCGGUUGGGUAAGUCGGGUGUGAAAACUCCAGGCUCAACUUGGAGAGGCCACCCGAUACUGCUCUGACUUGAGUUCGGUAGGGGAGUGGGGAAUUCCUGGUGUAGCGGUGAAAUGCGCAGAUAUCAGGAGGAACACCGGUGGCGAAGGCGCCACUCUGGGCCGAAACUGACGCUGAGGAGCGAAAGCGUGGGUAGCAAACA